Molecule: ribosomal RNA, 1317 nt
Filed under: uncultured delta proteobacterium
Lineage: Bacteria; Deltaproteobacteria
Description: bacterial SSU rRNA
Rfam family: Bacterial small subunit ribosomal RNA
Source: RNAcentral
AGAGUUUGAUUAUGGCUCAGAAUAACGCUGGCGGCGUGCCUAACACAUGCAAGUCGGACGCGAAGCUUCGGUUAGAGUGGCGCACGGGUGAGUAACGCGUAGGUAAUCUACCUCUGGAUUGGGGAUAACUCUGCGAAAGCGGAGCUAAUACCGAAUGCUGGCUUUAUUUUGAUGAAGUCGGUAAAGGAUGCUUGCAUAUGCAUCUGUCCGGAGAUGAGCCUGCGUCCCAUUAGCUAGUUGGUAGGGUAAAGGCCUACCAAGGCGACGAUGGGUAGCUGGUCUGAGAGGAUGAUCAGCCACACUGGAACUGGAACACGGUCCAGACUCCUACGGGAGGCAGCAGUGGGGAAUAUUGGGCAAUGGGCGCAAGCCUGACCCAGCAACGCCGUGUGAGGGAGGUUCGUCGACCUCUGUCAGAAGGGCGAAUAGACCUUCAGAGGAAGCACCGGCAACUCCGUGCCAGCAGCCGCGGUAAUACGGAGGGUGCGAGCGUUAUUCGGAAUCACUGGGCGUAAAGGGCGCGUAGGCGGCCUGGUAAGUCAGGGGUGAAAUCCCACGGCUCAACCGUGGAAUUGCCUUUGAAACUGCUGGGCUUGGAUCCUGGAGAGGGUGGCGGAAUUCCUGGUGUAGGAGUGAAAUCCGUAGAUAUCAGGAGGAACACCGGUGGCGAAGGCGGCCGCCUGGACAGUAUCGACGCUGAGGCGCGAAAGUGUGGGGAGCAAACAGGAUUAGAUACCCUGGUAGUCCACACCGUAAACGAUGGAUACUAGGUGUUGGGGGCAUGACCCUCAGUGCCGCAGCUAACGCGUUAAGCAUCCCACCUGGGAAGUACGGCCGCAAGGCUAAAACUCAAAUGAAUUGGCGGGGACCCGCACAAGCGGAGGAGCGCGUGGUUUAAUUCGAUGGCAAUCGAAGAACCUUACCAGGGUACAUGUAUCUGCAUAUUCCCAGAAACGGGAUUCGUGAUCAAGGUGCUGCAUGGCCGUCGUCAGCUCGUGUCGUGAGAUGUAGGGUUAAGUCCCGAAACGAGCGCAACCCCUAUCUCAUGUUAUAUGUGUCUUGAGAAACUGCCUCGGUAAAACGGGGAGGAAGGUGGGGAUGACGUCUGGUCCGCAUAGCCCUUAUGUCCUGGGCUACACACGCGCUACAAUGGUAGGUACAAUGGGCAGCCAAACCGCAAGGUGGAGCUAUCCUAAAAAACCUAUCUCAGUUCGGAUUGUGGGCUGAAACUCGCCCACAUGAAGUUGGAUUCGCUAGUAAUCGUGGAUCAGCCAUGCCGCGGUGAAUACGUUCUCGGGUCUUGCACACACCCCCGUC